RNAcentral lists this ribosomal RNA (3314 nucleotides) under sediment metagenome. RNAcentral describes it as "bacterial LSU rRNA". It matches the Rfam family "Bacterial large subunit ribosomal RNA". The record is from RNAcentral.
AGAGUGCACGGGGGAUGCCUAGGCACCAGUGGCCGAAGAAGGGCGUGGCAAGCUGCGAAAAGCUUCGGUGAGGCGCAAGCAGCCAUUGAACCGGAGAUGCCCGAAUGGGGAAACCCGGCUGGUAGAAGACCAGUCACCCGCUUAAGGCGGGGGGAACCCGGCGAAGUGAAACAUCUCAGUAGCCGGAGGAAAAGAAAUCGACAAGAGAUUCCCUGAGUAGUGGUGAGCGAAAGGGGAUAUAGCCUAAACCAUGCGCGUGCAAGACUGCGGUCGUUUCGCGCACUGGGGUAGCGGGAUCGCAAGUUACACUGCCGCAGCGGUGUAGUGGAGUUACAAAAGCCAUAUCUAGCCGAACAGUGUUGGGAAAGCUGACCGCAGGGGGUGAAAGUCCCGUAGGCGAAAGGUAUAGCCCUCCAUAUUGCGACACCCAAGUAGGCCGGAGCACGAGGAAUUCCGGUUGAAUCCGGGCGGACCACCGUCCAAGGCUAAAUACCACUGGUGACCGAUAGUGAAGCAGUACCGAGAGGGAAAGGUGAAAAGCACCCCUGGCGGGGAGUGAAAAGACCUGAAACCGUGCACUUACAAGCAAUCGGAGUCCGGCACUCAGCCUUGCACAUCAGCCGGCAGAAUCACAGUCAGAAGGGACAGACUGUGGAACAGAGGCAGUAGAAGAGGUUAAUGUGAGAGGCUGAGUGCCGGAUGACGGUGUGCCUAUUGAAGAAUGAGCCGGCGAGUUACGGUGCGUGGCGAGGUUAAGGGCUGACUAAGGUCCGGAGCCGGAGGGAAACCGAGUCUGAAAAGGGCGAAUUAGUCGCGUAUCGUAGACCCGAAGCCGUACGAUCUAUCCAUGGGCAGGUUGAAGUCCGGGUGAAACCGGAUGGAGGACCGAACCAGUGCCUGUUGAAAAAGUCUUGGAUGACCUGUGGAUAGGAGUGAAAAGCUAAUCGAGUACGGUGAUAGCUGGUUCUCCCCGAAAUGCAUUGAGGUGCAGCCUCGUGAGACAGAAAGUGACGGGGGUAGAGCUACUGGAUGGAUGAGGGGGACUGGGGUCCUACCGAUUUCAACCAAACUCCGAAUACCGUUACUGGAUACACGGGAGUGAGACUACGGGUGAGAAGGUCCGUGGUCGAAAGGGAAACAGCCCAGACCGACAGCUAAGGUCCCCAAGCCCGCGCUGAGUGUGACAAGGAUGUGGGGGAGCCCAGACAGCCAGGAGGUUGGCUUAGAAGCAGCCACCCUUGAAAGAGUGCGUAACAGCUCACUGGUCGAGCGCCCCUGCGCCGAUAAUGUAGGGGGCUAAGCGCGGCGCCGAAGCUUCGGAAUGAGAUCGCAUAUGCGAUCUGAUUGGUAGGGGAGCGUUCCGUACAGGGAGAAGUUGUGCCGUGAGGCAUGGUGGACAGUACGGAAGUGAGAAUGCCGGCAUAAGUAGCGAGAAACGCGUGAGAAACGCGUUCGCCGAAUGCCCAAGGUUUCCUGGGGAAGGUUCAUCCACCCAGGGUCAGGCGGGACCUAAGGCGAGGCCGAAAGGCGUAGUCGAUGGACAGCAGGCAGACAUUCCUGCCCCGCCCCGAUGACGAUACUACCGAUGGGGUGACGCAAGAGGCUAGGUGCUCCGGGUGAUGGAAUACCCGGUACAAGGAAGUAGGGGGACGGACCAGGCAAAUCCGGUCUGUUGUAUAACCCUGAGAUCUGAUGUGGAUCCGCUGUAAUGGCGGAGAAGUCAUUGAGGCCAAAUUGCCAAGAAAAGCCUCUAGGGAGGAAUUGGGGCGCCCGUACCCGAAACCGACACAGGUGGGCUGGCUGAGCAGGCUAAGGCGGACGAGACAACCUUCGCUAAGGAACUCUGCAAGUUGACCCCGUAACCUAGGGAGAAGGGGUGCCGCCGUGGUGAGACGUUUGACAUGUUAAGCUGACGGCGGUCGCAGAAACCAGGCCCAGGCGACUGUUUACUAAAAACACAGGACUCUGCUGAAGGCGUGAAGCCGACGUAUAGGGUCUGACACCUGCCCGGUGCUGGAAGGUUAAGGGAAGAGGUCAUCCGGCACUCAGCUGGUGUUGUCAGGAGUGAAGCCAUGUAUUACGUGUAUGUACUUGAAAAUCAAGAGGGAGGCACGUACACGGGUUAUACGCAGGACCUGAGGGAGCGUAUGAAAGGGCAUGAGCAUGGGGAUACAAAGAGCACCAGGGGUAAAGAAUGGACCCUGGUUUACUACGAAGCCUAUUACUCGAAGAAAGACGCCAUAAUUCGCGAACGAAGGUUGAAGAAAUCCCACCAGGCCAGAAGAUGGCUUAAGGAGCGUAUAUCGGAGAGCAUGGAAGAAGCUCUUAACGACAUGAGCUGAGUGCCGGAGAAGCUUUGAACCGAAGCCCCAGUAAACGGCGGCCGUAACUAUAACGGUCCUAAGGUAGCGAAAUUCCUUGUCAGGUAAGUUCUGACCUGCACGAAUGGUGUAACGAUCUGGGCGCUGUCUCGGCGAGGGACUCGGUGAAAUUGUGGUACCGGUAAAGACGCCGGUUACCCGUGGUGGGACGGAAAGACCCCGUGGAGCUUUACUGUAGCCUGAUAUUGGAUUUCGGUAUGUCAUGUACAGGAUAGGUGGGAGGCAUUGAAGCGAGGGCGUCAGCCUUCGUGGAGCCGCUGUUGGGAUACCACCCUUGUCGUACUGGGGUUCUAACCGCAGAUGUCUGAAUCGGCAUGCGGGACAUUGUCAGGUGGGCAGUUUGACUGGGGCGGUCGCCUCCUAAAGAGUAACGGAGGCGCGCGAAGGUCACCUCAGGGCGAAUGGAAAUCGCCCCUGAGAGCGCAAGGGUAUAAGGUGGCCUUACUGUGAGACCGACAGGUCGAGCAGUCUCGAAAGAGGGUCCUAGUGAUCCGGCGGUGCCGAGUGGAAGGGCCGUCGCUCAUCGGAUAAAAGCUACCCCGGGGAUAACAGGCUGAUCUUGCCCGAGAGUUCCCAUCGACGGCAAGGUUUGGCACCUCGAUGUCGGCUCGUCGCAUCCUGGGGCUGAAGCAGGUCCCAAGGGUUGGUCUGUUCGCCCAUUAAAGCGGUACGUGAGCUGGGUUUAGAACGUCGUGAGACAGUUCGGUCCCUAUCCACCAUGGGCGCAAGUGGUUUGAGGGGAGCUGCUCCUAGUACGAGAGGACCGGAGUGGACGCACCUCUGGUGUACCGGUUGUGCCGCCAGGCGCAUAAGCCGGGUAGCUAUGUGCGGAACGGAUAACCGCUGAAAGCAUCUAAGUGGGAAGCCGGCCUCGAGAUGAGACCACUCACCGCACUUAAAGCGGGUAAGGUAGCACGGAGAUGACGUGUUUGA